UUUGUAAUUAUCCUCAUAAUUGGAUUGUGUGUAUUUUUCAGUGCAAAGAUGAACCAGACAUUGCUGACACUCCUCACUGUGGACACUGACACUGACGCUCCUGGUGUGGUCCGCUUCAGCCAAAGUGAAAGGUGGCUGUGGAUGGAUUUGUCCGUUUCUGUGGGAGUGGUGAUGGAACAGUGGAGAAGACACAUGCCCACAGCACUGAAUACAAUACAAACUCCUGAAAGCACUUCUGAACUGGCUGUUCAGGCCAGCUGUGACGAUGUCCACAAGAUGAGGUUCAGCGACCUGUUUGCCUGGGCGGAGGAGUACGAUGAUUCCUAGACCAAGGCUCCGGCCUCCUCGCCUCGCUCCCGGAAAGGAACGGCUCCGCCCACCAACAGCGAGGAGGAGAGCGCCUCCAGCAGCGCCUCAGUACGUAGCCCCACCUCCACCUGCUCCUCUGUGUGAGGACAACCUGAAUCUGUGUCUCGUUCUUUGAUUGGUCUGUAAAAUACAGCUGCUCGUUACUUUCUAUAAAUUGAACUAAUAGACUUUCUGUUAGCUUCCUGCUCAGCUUCCAGUCUCAAGGGGAGAUGUUUGUUAACCUGCUUCACUUCUCCAGCCGUAAACAAUCUUUAUUAGCUAUCUUUAUUUGCUUAUGAUUCCAUAAAACUCCACAUUCAAAGCUCCCUUUUAUAUUAUUUAAGUAAAAGUGCUGCUCAUGGAAUAAAAGUAUGCAUAGUUGCUUUUUCCACAGUAUAGUAAGUAGUAAAAGGACAUUUUAUUUAGCUCAAGAGAUUCAAGUUAUUAUCACUUAACACCAAAAAAUCUCUUUAAGAAUCUGGAAAUUGUGCUGGCAAUCCGCAAAUGGCUCAGGCAAACACUUGUCUUUCUGUGAUUUUUAUUCAAGUCUUCUGCAGAAGGACUCACAGCAACACACAUAUGCCAUAUAGGCCUACAUGUAUGCUCGGAUGAGUGAGGAAAGCUGAGUGAGCCUGUUAUUUAUCCAGCUUUAGGGUCAAUCAUAUCAUCCCACAGAGACACGUUUUCCCUGAGGUCUGGAUAACAAAGAGAACAGAGAUAUUUGGACUGUUACAUUUAAACAGAUUCAGUGCCACAUCAUACAUUAGUCUCCCUGAGUCCAGAGUUACAUGCAAUAUGUUUGGAAUUUCCAUUACAAAAUAGAGAAUGUUCAACAUUAUUGCAAAAAAGAAUGAAAAGAAAUAGGUUAUCAAAAUUGUUGCCGGUUAAUUAUCUGAUCAAGCAGUCAGUUACUUCUAUUCAGACUUCUAUUGGUCUAUUCAGCUUUAUGCAAGAUGUACCUUAUUUUGUGUCUGUUAAAUGUAGAAAUGAUGAAAGAUGUGAGAAGAUGAUACUAAUAAAGAGAACUUGAAUUGUAA
This is a long non-coding RNA of Micropterus dolomieu (smallmouth bass), 1385 nucleotides long. RefSeq lists it as uncharacterized. The transcript has 2 exons. The record is from RefSeq and is a predicted model, not a curated record. NCBI's taxonomy places the organism in Eukaryota, Metazoa, Chordata, Actinopteri, Centrarchiformes, Centrarchidae.